GACGAACCGUGCGAACGUUGUUCGGAAUCACUGGGCUUAAAGGGCGCGUAGGCGGGCUGCCAAGUCUGGGGUGAAAUCCCGCGGCUCAACCGUGGAAUGGCCUCAGAUACUGACGGCCUCGAGGAAGGUAGGGGCAUGCGGAACUGUAGGUGGAGCGGUGAAAUGCGUUGAUAUCUACAGGAACUCCGGUGGCGAAAGCGGCGUGCUGGACCUUUUCUGACGCUGAGGCGCGAAAGCUAGGGGAGCAAACGGG
RNAcentral lists this ribosomal RNA (253 nucleotides) under uncultured bacterium. Its description in RNAcentral is "partial 16S ribosomal RNA". It matches the Rfam family "Bacterial small subunit ribosomal RNA", at positions 524 to 776 of the family's 1533-position model. The record is from RNAcentral.